AAGAUACUUAUUGAAUCCAAAAGGCCACUCUGUCUCAGCACUCUGGCCUGUGGGGUUGAAGAGAGGCAGGUGUUUGGGAAGGGGAUGUUUGGGAAGGAGGUGUUGGGGAAGGAGGUGUUGGGGAAGGGGGAAGGAGGUGUUGGGAAGGAGGUGUUGGGGAAGGAGGUGUUUGGGAAAGAGGGGUUUGGGAAGGAGGUGUUGGGGAAGGAGGUGUUGGGAAGGAGGUGUUUGGGAAGGAGGUGUCUGGGAAGCCUGAUCAGCUAUCACAUCUCCCUUGGGAAUCUUGCCUUCAUGCAGUGAGUAUUUGCAACUG
Molecule: long non-coding RNA, 313 nt
Filed under: Homo sapiens (human)
Lineage: Eukaryota; Metazoa; Chordata; Mammalia; Primates; Hominidae
Description: HSALNT0360057
Source: RNAcentral